CGUCCGAGUUGUAACCUGGAGGAGCGCUUUCCGCGCCGGACCGUGUACAAGUCUCCUGGAACGGAGCGUCAUAGAGGGUGAGAAUCCCGUCCAUGACACGGACGCCCGGUGCUUUGUGAUUGCGCCCCCCGAAGAGUCGCGUUGUUUGGGAAUGCAGCGCAAAAUGGGUGGUAAAUUCCAUCUAAAGCUAAAUAUUGGCGAGAGACCGAUAGCGAACAAGUACCGUGAGGGAAAGAUGAAAAGCACUUUGGAAAGAGAGUUAAACAGUACGUGAAAUUGUUGAAAGGGAAACGCUUGAAGUCAGUCGCGUCGCACGGAACUCAGUCUGGCCUCGGCCUGGUGUACUUUCCGUGCGACGGGUCAACAUCAAUUUCGGGCGGCGGACAAGGGCGAGGGGAAUGUAGCGUCGCUUCGGCGGCGUGUUAUAGCCCCUUGUCGUAUACGCCGUGCGGGAUUGAGGACCGCAGCGCGCCCUUGUGGCCGGGGUUCGCCCACGUCACGCGCUUAGGAUGUUGGCAUAAUGGCUUUAAGCGACCCGUCUUGAAACACGGACCAAGGAGUCUAACAUGCUUGCGAGUGUUCGGGUGGAAAACCCUUGCGCGGAAUGAAAGUGAAAGUUGGGAGCCUCCGCGAGGGGGUGCACCGACGCCCGGCCCUGAAGUUCUCUGACGGUGCUGCGGUAGAGCAGGUGUGUUGGGACCCGAAAGAUGGUGAACUAUGCCUGAAUAGGGCGAAGCCAGAGGAAACUCUGG
Molecule: ribosomal RNA, 752 nt
Filed under: Phellinotus piptadeniae
Lineage: Eukaryota; Fungi; Basidiomycota; Agaricomycetes; Hymenochaetales; Hymenochaetaceae
Description: LSU rRNA
Rfam family: Eukaryotic large subunit ribosomal RNA
Source: RNAcentral